Molecule: transfer RNA, 74 nt
Filed under: Rhodospirillaceae bacterium
Lineage: Bacteria; Pseudomonadati; Pseudomonadota; Alphaproteobacteria; Rhodospirillales; Rhodospirillaceae
Also listed under: 1 other name
Description: tRNA-Val
Rfam family: tRNA
About the family: Transfer RNA (tRNA) molecules are approximately 80 nucleotides in length. Their secondary structure includes four short double-helical elements and three loops (D, anti-codon, and T loops).
Source: RNAcentral
GGGCGGGUAGCUCAGUUGGUUAGAGCGCGACGUUGACAUCGUCGAGGUCAGGGGUUCGAGACCCUUCUCGCCCA